GAAGAAUUAGAAAAUGACUCAGAAAGAAACUGGAGGAUAAUUUUAUCUGAGUUUGAAAGAAAAACAACAGGAAAAGCAAGCUGUAAAUCUUGGAAGCUGCCUGCAGAGAUAGAGAAAGUGGAGAAAGUUAUGCCUCUAAGGUGAAGCAGCUUUCCUUGGGAGUGUUCUCCUAGCCAGGUGAUUGACAGGCCCAUCUGGAACAACUCUUAAGAGAGAAGAUAAUAGAAUGUAAUGUUUUAAUCUUUGGAGCAGAUCAGAAUGUCAAGUCUCCACCUAGGGCCAGAGGAGGCCCAAGCAGAAGCUGUUGUGAUGUUUUCCUUUCUAAUAUUACCAGCAAUGGAAAGAUGAAAUUGAGAGGUUCAAAGGUAGAGCUCUGAGAACAGUGGGGCAGAUACACUGCAAUAGAGUGGUCAGUGGAUGAUGGAGACUUGCGAGAAAAGAAAGGAUGCAUUUAAGGAUGAUUCAAAAUCUGAGACCUGGAGGACUUGCUGAUUGGUUGUGAAGGGUUACAGCCGAUAAUAUCUUGCUGGAACAAUUUUUCUGAAUGGCAUUUCAAACUGUUACCAAUGAAUGAUGAUGUUAAAGCAUUAAUAUUUGAUGCAUUUCAAGAUGGCAUGAGGUUCAGGAGGAUAUCUAACCUAUUGACCAUCUGUCAGACUCUCCUCUCUUCUCAUGCUUCCCACACAGAAAGAAAAAUAAAGGGGGAAGCUAAGG
Long non-coding RNA from Nannospalax galili (Upper Galilee mountains blind mole rat), 714 nucleotides. RefSeq lists it as uncharacterized. The transcript is spliced from 4 exons. The record is from RefSeq and is a predicted model, not a curated record. NCBI's taxonomy places the organism in Eukaryota, Metazoa, Chordata, Mammalia, Rodentia, Spalacidae.